GUUUAGGUCACUUUGAUUUGAGGUUUUAUGAUUGCUUGGCUUCAGGGGUGGUUUGUAGAGUUACGGAAAACUAUUGUACCGUCGGUUGGCGGUUUCUUUUGACAAUGUUCUUCUCUAUGCUAUUUGCAGAUUGUUAUGAAGCUGCUUUUCCAACUAUUAGGACGAUGACAAAUUAGUUAUUUUGCGUGCUAAUUUGAUUGGAUUGAAAGUGGGCCUUAAUCUUAGUGUACCAAGUGAAAUGUGGAAAUGAGUUUUGGAAGCAAAUUUAUGGAGAAAUUGUGUAAUUUACUUUAACAAAAUUAUGGUACAACGGGAGCUGAAAUAUUUCAAUAUCCUAUACGCAACGAGCAUGACUUCAUGGAGGUGUUUUAGUGCUAGUGUCGAUACUUCCCCAAUUCUCCUUGUUUCACAACAAUAGUGGCAAAGGAAAAACACCGAGAACUAAUGCAAAUUAGAUUACGCAUCAUUACGAGUUAGUUUAAACCACCGUUUGGAUUUAAAAUUCAAAUUUGAAAUUUACAGCAAACGAAAGAAUUCAGCUAUGUUUUGACGUUUCUUAUUCAGCGCCGAAUGUUGACUACCUGUUGACCGGCUUGAUCACAAUAUUAAGUAAACAAAUGUCAACAAUUAGUGAGUUAAGUGUACACAAACUAAGUGAAUUUAUUAAAAAAAAGUGAUAAAAAUUUGGAAAACAACAAGGAACAUAAGUAGAAAGAAAAGGGAGGAAAGGCGGGGAAACCUCCUACUUUAUCAAUAUACUGGCGGAUGUGGUGUCUUUUUACAAUCAAUGUCUAUCAUCCUACGUUUGCGGUCAUCAGACCAGCUGAAGUGAUAAAAUCGAACAGCUUCUCUCCUCUAGGAUUGCAUUUGCUGCUGCCCUGAGCGCUCGCAUCACAACCUAUUAAAAAUUCAAAGCCAGUUUAUUGUGCAUACGUUUCCAGAUCCCUUAGUUUUGCCGUCGACGGAGGACACAAAGAAUCAUAGGGACUAUAUCCGGCAUGUUCCAUCCGAAUACCAACUACGGGGAAAUGCUUGAAGGCGCAGCUCGGCGAUAUUGGUUUGGAAACUCUGCGCUGUGUGACGAUAUCAGUGCAGCUUCCAGGACUCAUCAGACGGCGAUUCCUGCUGAUCCACCAUACCUCAGCGUCCAGCUCCUUCAUUUCGGCACCGUUUGUUGCUUCUCCGUCGCAGACGGACGGUACUAUCGGUCUUGCAUUGUAAUAUGUUCAUAAAUAUGUAAAGAUGUUUUAUAUUUUUAACCAAUUGUUAAUAAAA
Long non-coding RNA from Hermetia illucens (black soldier fly), 1275 nucleotides. RefSeq lists it as uncharacterized. NCBI's taxonomy places the organism in Eukaryota, Metazoa, Arthropoda, Insecta, Diptera, Stratiomyidae. The record is from RefSeq and is a predicted model, not a curated record. The transcript is spliced from 3 exons.